UACGUAGGGGGCUAGCGUUGUCCGGAUUUAUUGGGCGUAAAUAGCGUGUAGGCGGCCAGGUAGGUCUGGUGUGAAAACUCGAGGCUUAACCUCGAGAUGUCAUCGGAAACCAUCUGGCUAGAGUCCGGAAGAGGAGAGUGGAAUUCCUGGUGUAGCGGUGAAAUGCGCAGAUAUCAGGAAGAACACCAAUGGCGAAAGCAGCUCUCUGGGACGGUACUGACGCUGAGACGCGAAAGCGUGGGGAGCGAACAGG
This 253-nucleotide ribosomal RNA is filed under the name uncultured bacterium. Its description in RNAcentral is "partial 16S ribosomal RNA". It matches the Rfam family "Bacterial small subunit ribosomal RNA", at positions 524 to 776 of the family's 1533-position model. The record is from RNAcentral.